This 218-nucleotide ribosomal RNA is filed under the name uncultured fungus. RNAcentral describes it as "partial small subunit ribosomal RNA". It matches the Rfam family "Eukaryotic small subunit ribosomal RNA", at positions 634 to 864 of the family's 1831-position model. The record is from RNAcentral. Lineage: Eukaryota; Fungi.
GGUCUUGGAUUUCGGUCCGGCACAAACGUGUUGUGUACCAGGAAUCUGAGACCAUCCUCGAGGAAAACAUAUCUGUCAUUAAUUUAAUGGGUAUGGGAUCCUCGUCAUUUACUGUGAGCAAAAUAGGGUGUUCAAAGCAGGCUUAUGCCGUUGAAUACAUUAGCAUGGAAUAAUAAGAUAGGACCUUGGUCUAUUUUGUUGGUUUGUACUCCAAGGUA